AAGACUUUCGAAACCUAAAAACAGUAUCCCAACAACUAUUUUAGCAAUUGAGUUACGAAUUCAACAAGACUAAACUGAACUUAACCUUUCAAAACUGAACAACGCAUACGAACUUACCACCAACGAACACAAUCACAUACAAGAAUUAGGCCGUUGGAGCGAAAUCCACUGCUCCACAAUCUUCUUAUACACAACACAUUCACAGAAAUUAAAUUCCCCAAACUACAACACCAUUACGCCAUCUCAAAAAGAAAGAUCCUAAAAUGAACUUACAAAAAUCGAAAGCUAAAAAUAAGCAAAACCACACUUACCAAGCCGAACGAAGAACACUAGAAAUUCGAAACUAGCGAUUUGAACGAAAGAUUUGUGAAUAGAAUCAAGGAAGAAAGAAAAAAAAGAAAUUGGCAGAGAAAGGAAAAGAAGAGAAAAAAACGUCAAGAAGAAAAGAAUUUUGGGGAAAAAAUUAAAUUAAAAUUUUAAAAAUUAAAUCAAAUAAUAUCCCAACUCCCCACUAUCCCACUAACUAACAAAUCCCGCCAAAAUCGACCCAGUAACUCUCAUCCAC
RNAcentral lists this long non-coding RNA (565 nucleotides) under Gossypium raimondii (Peruvian cotton). RNAcentral describes it as "long non-coding RNA (GRAI_LNC005661)". The record is from RNAcentral. Lineage: Eukaryota; Viridiplantae; Streptophyta; Magnoliopsida; Malvales; Malvaceae.